RNAcentral lists this ribosomal RNA (1297 nucleotides) under uncultured Ralstonia sp. RNAcentral's name for it is "bacterial SSU rRNA". It matches the Rfam family "Bacterial small subunit ribosomal RNA", at positions 56 to 1351 of the family's 1533-position model. The record is from RNAcentral. Lineage: Bacteria; Pseudomonadati; Pseudomonadota; Betaproteobacteria; Burkholderiales; Burkholderiaceae.
UGCAGUCGACGGCAGCAUGAUCUAGCUUGCUAGAUUGAUGGCGAGUGGCGAACGGGUGAGUAAUACAUCGGAACGUGCCCUGUAGUGGGGGAUAACUAGUCGAAAGAUUAGCUAAUACCGCAUACGACCUGAGGGUGAAAGUGGGGGACCGCAAGGCCUCAUGCUAUAGGAGCGGCCGAUGUCUGAUUAGCUAGUUGGUGAGGUAAAGGCUCACCAAGGCGACGAUCAGUAGCUGGUCUGAGAGGACGAUCAGCCACACUGGGACUGAGACACGGCCCAGACUCCUACGGGAGGCAGCAGUGGGGAAUUUUGGACAAUGGGGGCAACCCUGAUCCAGCAAUGCCGCGUGUGUGAAGAAGGCCUUCGGGUUGUAAAGCACUUUUGUCCGGAAAGAAAUCGCACUUACUAAUAUUAGGUGUGGAUGACGGUACCGGAAGAAUAAGGACCGGCUAACUACGUGCCAGCAGCCGCGGUAAUACGUAGGGUCCAAGCGUUAAUCGGAAUUACUGGGCGUAAAGCGUGCGCAGGCGGUUGUGCAAGACCGAUGUGAAAUCCCCGGGCUUAACCUGGGAAUUGCAUUGGUGACUGCACGGCUAGAGUGUGUCAGAGGGGGGUAGAAUUCCACGUGUAGCUGUGAAAUGCGUAGAGAUGUGGAGGAAUACCGAUGGCGAAGGCAGCCCCCUGGGAUAACACUGACGCUCAUGUACGAAAGCGUGGGGAGCAAACAGGAUUAGAUACCCUGGUAGUCCACGCCCUAAACGAUGUCAACUAGUUGUUGGGGAUUCAUUUCCUUAGUAACGUAGCUAACGCGUGAAGUUGACCGCCUGGGGAGUACGGUCGCAAGAUUAAAACUCAAAGGAAUUGACGGGGACCCGCACAAGCGGUGGAUGAUGUGGAUUAAUUCGAUGCAACGCGAAAAACCUUACCUACCCUUGACAUGCCACUAACGAAGCAGAGAUGCAUUAGGUGCUCGAAAGAGAAAGUGGACACAGGUGCUGCAUGGCUGUCGUCAGCUCGUGUCGUGAGAUGUUGGGUUAAGUCCCGCAACGAGCGCAACCCUUGUCUCUAGUUGCUACGAAAGGGCACUCUAGAGAGACUGCCGGUGACAAACCGGAGGAAGGUGGGGAUGACGUCAAGUCCUCAUGGCCCUUAUGGGUAGGGCUUCACACGUCAUACAAUGGUGCAUACAGAGGGUUGCCAAGCCGCGAGGUGGAGCUAAUCCCAGAAAAUGCAUCGUAGUCCGGAUCGUAGUCUGCAACUCGACUACGGAAGCUGGAAUCGCUAGAAUCGCGGAUCA